CUCCCGUUGAUCCUGCCGGACCCGACUGCUAUCUCAAUGGGACUAAGCCAUGCGAGUCAACGCCGCAAGGCGUGGCAUACGGCUCAGUAACACGUAGUCAACAUGCCCAAGGGACGUGGAUAACCUCGGGAAACUGAGGAUAAACCGCGAUAGGCCAAGAUUUCUGGAAUGGAUCAUGGCUGAAAUCUAUAUGGCCCUUGGAUUGGACUGCGGCCGAUCAGGCUGUUGGUGAGGUAAUGGCCCACCAAACCUAUAACCGGUACGGGCUUUGAGAGAAGGAGCCCGGAGAUGGGCACUGAGACAAGGGCCCAGGCCCUAUGGGGCGCAGCAGGCGCGAAAACUCUGCAAUAGGCGAAAGCUUGACAGGGUUACUCUGAGUGAUGCCCGCUAAGGGCAUCUUUUGGUACCUCUAAAAAUGGUGCAGAAUAAGGGGUGGGCAAGUCUGGUGCCAGCAGCCGCGGUAAU
This 465-nucleotide ribosomal RNA is filed under the name uncultured crenarchaeote. Its description in RNAcentral is "bacterial SSU rRNA". It matches the Rfam family "Archaeal small subunit ribosomal RNA", at positions 1 to 474 of the family's 1478-position model. The record is from RNAcentral. Lineage: Archaea; Thermoproteati; Thermoproteota.